CAGCAGCCGCGGGAAUACGGAGGGGGCUAGCGUUGUUCGGAAUUACUGGGCGUAAAGCGCACGUAGGCGGCUUGGUAAGUUAGAGGUGAAAGCCCGGAGCUCAACUCCGGAAUUGCCUUUAAGACUGCCGAGCUAGUAGGUGAGAGAGGUAAGUGGAAUUCCGAGUGUAGAGGUGAAAUUCGUAGAUAUUCGGAAGAACACCAGUGGCGAAGGCGGCUUACUGGCUCAUUCUAGACGCUGAGGUGCGAAAGCGUGGGGAGCAAACAGGAUUAGAUACCCCCGUAGUCCCUGUCUCUUAUAC
Molecule: ribosomal RNA, 301 nt
Filed under: uncultured bacterium
Lineage: Bacteria
Description: partial 16S ribosomal RNA
Rfam family: Bacterial small subunit ribosomal RNA
Source: RNAcentral